Molecule: ribosomal RNA, 253 nt
Filed under: uncultured bacterium
Lineage: Bacteria
Description: partial 16S ribosomal RNA
Rfam family: Bacterial small subunit ribosomal RNA
Source: RNAcentral
UACGUAGGGUGCAAGCGUUAAUCGGAAUUACUGGGCGUAAAGCGUGCGCAGGCGGUUGUACAAGCCAGAGGUGAAAUCCCCGGGCUCAACCUGGGAACUGCCUUUGUGACUGUACGGCUAGAGUGUGUCAGAGGGGGGUAGAAUUCCACGUGUAGCAGUGAAAUGCGUAGAGAUGUGGAGGAAUACCGAUGGCGAAGGCAGCCCCCUGGGAUAACACUGACGCUCAUGCACGAAAGCGUGGGGAGCGAACAGG